This 245-nucleotide ribosomal RNA is filed under the name uncultured archaeon. Its description in RNAcentral is "partial 16S ribosomal RNA". It matches the Rfam family "Archaeal small subunit ribosomal RNA", at positions 474 to 718 of the family's 1478-position model. The record is from RNAcentral.
UACCCGCGGUCCAAGUCGCAGCCAUCUUUAUUGGGUCUAAAACAUCCGUAGCUUGCCUGAUAAGUUCCUUGUGAAAUCUUAUCUCUUAAGGAUAAGGCGUGCAAGGAGUACUGCCAGGCUAGAGACCGGAAGACGUAAGAAGUACGUUCGAAGUAGCGGUAAAAUGCGUUAAUCUCGGGCGGACUCACAACAGCGAAGGCAUCUUACGAGGACGGUUCUGACUGUCAGGGAUGAAGGCUAGGGGC